CGGCCCAGACACAGGGUGUGGGAAGAGACCUAAGAGGGCGAGGGCCAAGGUGCUGGCUGAAUGCGAGGCGUACAGUAGGGGGGGAUGCCCAGUGUUAAUGACCGCUUAACCUGAAGGGAUAAGUGCUGGGAGGAGGGAAGCUCGAAAAAAGGAAAACAAGGGACAAAUGCUUGAUAAUUACACAGCACUGCUGGCCCUCAUUUCCUGCCCCGGAUCUGUUUCCCCCAGGUGCAGUUUGAACUGGAAGAAACACACUUAUACUCACAGGGACAUCCACAUACUUGGCAGCCGCUUUCACCUUUGAGUGCGGGGAAAAAACCCCAAAAGAAGCAAGCAACAGUUCAACUAUGCAGAUCUGGUUUCAACAAAAUGCCACAUUGCUUUUAUCAUCUGUGAAUGGACUGUCUCAGCCUUCUCCUGUCAGCAACAAAAAAACAAGGCUACUUACCGUGAAAGAGAGGAUUGAAGAAAAGAAUGUCCCUUCGUCGUAUCUCGAGAGCUUGGCGAGGACGCCAUCCAAAACCACGGCAAACUGCCAAAGGAACAGAAAGUCAGAAUAGUUAGUAUUCCAUUUGUAAAAGAGGAUGGGCUUCAUGUCUGAGAGCCUUUGUUUAGCCCUUUUCAAAUGUUUUGUUCAUGUUCUAUAUAUUUUUUUUCUUUUAUUGUUACAAUCAAAAAACAUUAAAGGGCCAUUGACUG
Molecule: long non-coding RNA, 699 nt
Organism: Osmerus eperlanus (European smelt)
Lineage: Eukaryota; Metazoa; Chordata; Actinopteri; Osmeriformes; Osmeridae
Exons: 2
Source: RefSeq, a predicted model, not a curated record